GCAAAGGCGUGCGGCGGGCCCGCGUCUCCCGCAGGCGAGGGCCACCUACCCGUGUCAGCAGAGCCUAGGAAUCAAACGCAUCGCUCUGAGAGGCAGACCUGACAUAGCCAGUUAGCCUCGAGGUGCUCAGCUCAAGGGUGUGCACUUGGAGACCAUCAGGGAGUGAGGGUGGCAGCAGCUGGCACUGCAGUGAAGUGCCUGGUUCUUCAGUCUGUGUGAUGAUUAUUGCCUUUUCUGUGGAAGUUUCUCCAUCUACCCAAUCUGCUGAACAGCAGGCCCUGAAAAGCUCCUCAUGCUCAGGUUGCUCAUCAGUGCAUUGUGCGCUUCCUGGCACUUCCUCUCAUUUCCUGGCACUGACCUCCUAUGGAUCCUUCUAGAUGUUCCCACAGGGACCCUCAGUAACCACUGCCGCCCUUGUCACCUUCACAUAUUCCUUUGAAGCAUAAGGUCAGUUUUAGAGAAGGACACUUCCAAAACUGGCAUGGAGGGAUUACAUUGAACUCGGUACAUGGUGGUUCUACUUCGUUGUGCAACAGCUGCCUACUGCAAAGGCGGCUGAACUCCCCAAACCAUGAGUAGUGCUGAAGUUACCAAUCAAGACGACAGGUAGUAUAGAGAAGAUUUAGAGAUCUUUAGAGUUUUGUCUAAGCCUUCUGCAUGGAUAGUUCUGCCCAUCUAGGGUGGAUACUGAGUCUUCAUCAUAGCAUCCCUCCAGCAGGACACUUGGGACUGCAAGAGUUCCCCCAUAGCUUCUGUAUGCAGACCACCAAGAGAAUUUGAAGAGCUGGUCCAAGAAGAAGGUUGUAGUUAAUCAACUGUUUCUGUCAUUAUAGCAUAUGUGCUUCAGCCAGCUCUCCACAUCUGAGUUAAAGAGGCACUGGAUCAUUUCUGCCUGCAAGGGGAACCUGAACCUCGCUGCACGGGUGCCACGCUGAGGCUCUGCAUCCAAAUGCUGCAGUGUCCUAAAGCUCAGUACAGUCCCUGUACCCCACAUUUAUUUUGGUGUGACAAGCAGGAAGCAUCAAAUUGCUACCAGUUUAAUUGUGUAGCUUGAGCCUGUGUCUCUUUCUCACCCUCCAGAGUGGGUCAGUUCAGUACUAUGGUGCCUCUGGAGCAUUUCCUGUUUCUCUAGAGGGAGAAUGCAACUCAAGUGAAGGCAGCCAAGGCCAGACAAGUCAGACCACGUCCCAUGUCUGUCACAGGGAUGAGCUUCAUGUACAGUUUUUAAAUACUGCCAAGAUUUCCCUAAUCCCUGACACCUGCUUCUGUGUUUUUUAUUUAUUAGAGAUUAUAUGGAGGAGGAGGCAGAGCAUCCUUAGUGUGAGCAUGCCAAGAGUUUACUGACUUGUAUUUGCUUAAUAAAUCUGCCCGUGCUUCAUGAAGUCUUCUCUUUUCAACUCAGUUCUAAGGGGGAAAGAGUUAAAUGACUGCUUGCAGCUUAUGAGAUGACCCUUAUGAAUUUCAGGUCAGUAUUGACAAGGUGUCAUUUAAAAUAAACAAACACCAAGCAACAAGAGUUGACAGUUGAGCCCUGGGACCACAUUCUUGGCUUUUUGAUGGUAGGGAGCCUUCGUGCUCUGGCAAAAAGUUGAAGUGUGGAAUUCCUGCAGAAUUACGUACUAAAUCUGCAGGAAUACAGAGGUCACCAUGAAGGGUGUUAUUUUACUGAAUACCAGAGGAAUUAAGAAUGAUCAGCCAAACAGGAUAAAGUUUUGUCAUUUAGAUAAAUAUUUAUAAAAGAAUAUAUUUUUCUUUUGUCUUUUUUUUUUCUACUUAGUUUGCAACAGUCAUGCACAAAAUUUGUGCUCAGUCUUUUACAAGUGAAGGAGUGCAGGGUUUGAACUAAAUUCUAGGCUCAUUUAUGCUGCUGUUUGUUGGGAAUAACAGAUAUGAGCCCUGAAUCAGGCCCUUCCUUUCAUAACCCAGGGGUGAACUCAGGUUGUGGAGUUUCCAUGUAAAUUUUUUUUCAGGUCAGAGUGUGAGACCACUGAGGGGAGGGAAAGAGAGCUGGCCCAUCCUCUAUAUAUUUCAGAUCAACUUACUGUACUUUCAGAUAAACUUUUUAGAAAGUGAACAACUGAAGCUGAGUUCUGUCUCUCACACAUGAAAAUGAUUUUAUAACUCAAACCUUGGAGAAAAUGUUGAAUCAUGCAUGUGUUAGUCAGUGCAGUGUAUUCAUGUAUGCGGUGUAAGUGUAUAAACCUGUUACAUAAGUUGACACUGAGCUGCCCUCUAGAAUACAGAGCUUGCACAAGGAAUCAGGCCUUCUCCAACUAAUAUUAACAUCCUCAGGUCUACCAAAGUGGUUUGAGAAGCUUAACUGGAAUUGCAAAACAAAUCUAAAUUCCAGAAUGAAAAACAUUUUGGGAAGGUGUAGUGAUGUUAAAAGCUUUUAUUCCUCAGAUACUGUGAAAUAUGUAGGAAUCCACUGGAGCUGUCCUGUCCAGAAACAGGCACUGCAGUUGGACAGACACUCUCAUUUGCCUCUUAUAGAAAUAUUUUGGUAGAAAUAGUGAUAAUUAGAAGAGUUCUCUACAGUUACCAAAGGGAUCUGUUACAGCAAUAAAAAAUUAGCUGUGUGUCACUUACUCUUCCAGCAGUGAGGGAUUAAAAUAGGAAGUAAACUUGCUCUAGGAUCAGAAGUAAAUGCUAUGGAGUUCAGGCUCAGAAGCGUGCUGCAAUGUCCCAGGUUACUAUUUA
Passer domesticus (house sparrow) is the source of this 2700-nucleotide RNA transcript. It is a transcript of the gene named family with sequence similarity 181 member A, with no coding region annotated. The transcript has 2 exons. Lineage: Eukaryota; Metazoa; Chordata; Aves; Passeriformes; Passeridae. The record is from RefSeq and is a predicted model, not a curated record.